Molecule: long non-coding RNA, 299 nt
Filed under: Salmo salar (Atlantic salmon)
Lineage: Eukaryota; Metazoa; Chordata; Actinopteri; Salmoniformes; Salmonidae
Description: lncRNA (ENSSSAG00000116568.1)
Source: RNAcentral
GUGUAGGCGUAGAUGUAGUUGUAGGUGUAGGCGUAGUGUAGGAUUAGGUGUAGUUGUAGGUUUAGGCAUAGAUGUAGUUGUAAGUGUUGAUGAAGUUGUAGGUUUAGUUAUAGGAAUAGGUGUAGUUGUAGGUGUAGUUGUAGUUGUAGUUGUAGGUGUAGUUGUAAGUGUAGUUGUAGGAGUAGGUGUAGCUGUAGAUGUCGUUGUAGGAGUAGGUGUAGUUGUAGGUGUAGUUGCAGAUGUAGUUGUAGGUGUAGUUGCAGUUGUUGGUGUAGUUGUAGGAGUAGGUGUAGUUGUAG